RNAcentral lists this small RNA (339 nucleotides) under Histoplasma ohiense. Its description in RNAcentral is "hypothetical lncRNA". The record is from RNAcentral. Lineage: Eukaryota; Fungi; Ascomycota; Eurotiomycetes; Onygenales; Ajellomycetaceae.
GCAAUGCGACAGUGGAAGGCCAUUGGACAUCAGGCUUCAUGGACAAAACACAAACAAGAGCCCACUCAGCCACCCCUGAUACUUCUGGCUAUGGUAUUCUGCCUUAGCGAAGUAGGAAUGGCGCCCGGCAGGCUUGUAUAUUGAUGAGGUUUCUCAUUUGGCUGCAGGCUUUCGACGACUAGAUCAGGGGUUGCGAAAAGAAGUCAACGCCAGCGAGCUCCAGUUGCUUUCCAUCCCACUGCUUGGAAUCCAUGUUCCUAAAAACGUGUCUCCACCAUUACAUGGAAGCGCAGGUUCAGUCGAUAAGGUUGAUUCAAAUGUACAGUAUAAUAAUACGAC